CUGAACCCGGUCCUAGCACCAUCAACAACGUCUGUGGAGCAGUGAAAUGUGUUGUAGUCGUUGUCUCUGGUCGACCAGUUGUGGUGCAGCCUCACCUUGCCAAAAUGGAUGCUCUUGUCGCUGCUUGGCUUCCCGGAACUGAAGGACAAGGCGUUACUGACGCUUUAUUUGGUGAUUAUGGCUUCACUGGUAAACUCGCCCGGACAUGGUUCAAGUCAGUUGAUCAACUUCCUAUGAACUUUGAUGACUCACACAAUAAGGAUCCAUUGUUUCAUUUUGGAUUUGG
Molecule: long non-coding RNA, 286 nt
Filed under: Capsicum annuum
Lineage: Eukaryota; Viridiplantae; Streptophyta; Magnoliopsida; Solanales; Solanaceae
Description: long non-coding RNA (CANN_LNC016836)
Source: RNAcentral